UCCUGGCUCAGGAUGAACGCUGGCGGCGUGCUUAACACAUGCAAGUCGAACGAUGAAGCCAGCUUGCUGGUGGAUUAGUGGCGAACGGGUGAGUAACACGUGAGUAACCUGCCCUUGACUCUGGGAUAAGCCUGGGAAACUGGGUCUAAUACCGGAUAUGACUCCUCAUCGCAUGGUGGGGGGUGGAAAGCUUUUUGUGGUUUUGGAUGGACUCGCGGCCUAUCAGCUUGUUGGUGAGGUAAUGGCUCACCAAGGCGACGACGGGUAGCCGGCCUGAGAGGGUGACCGGCCACACUGGGACUGAGACACGGCCCAGACUCCUACGGGAGGCAGCAGUGGGGAAUAUUGCACAAUGGGCGAAAGCCUGAUGCAGCGACGCCGCGUGAGGGAUGACGGCCUUCGGGUUGUAACCU
Molecule: ribosomal RNA, 413 nt
Filed under: Arthrobacter sp. 120-3.2-LH-A-61
Lineage: Bacteria; Bacillati; Actinomycetota; Actinomycetes; Micrococcales; Micrococcaceae
Description: bacterial SSU rRNA
Rfam family: Bacterial small subunit ribosomal RNA
Source: RNAcentral